Poecile atricapillus (Black-capped chickadee) is the source of this 1830-nucleotide long non-coding RNA. RefSeq lists it as uncharacterized. Lineage: Eukaryota; Metazoa; Chordata; Aves; Passeriformes; Paridae. The record is from RefSeq and is a predicted model, not a curated record. The transcript is spliced from 7 exons.
CGGCUGGGGCAGCAGCAGGAGCGGUGUCGGUGCUGAGCUGCAGUGGGAUCCUGUGGCGUGGGGACAGCGGGUGCUGUGUGUGCAGGCUGCUCCUGUGUCCGUCCGUGUGAGGAGGUGGCGGUUGCACAGUCGCGGCGACAUGACUGAUAAUCAGAACGAGCGUUUUAUCCCUUUUUUCAUUAAAAAGUCUGGUCUUUAAUCGGAUGAUGCUCUAAGUUGGACCUGAGGGCAGAUAAACUAGUAGCUGCUGAAUUCAGUCUUGGUGAGGGUUCGAAGUGGUAGAAUCACCGUCCCUGGAAAUGUUCACAGAAUGUGUUUCACCUGCUGGGUCUUAUCUUUGCUUCUUAAAAUGAGCAAACCUCAGUGGGCCUUCUCAGGGUCUCUCCAGAUGUUUGCAUAAAGGAUGUAGGUGCUGCACCCCAGUGUGGGCAAUGUUUCACCCUCUCAUUGAUUUCAAGCAUUGUGCUGCUUGGCAUUCCCCUUUCUCGGCCAUCUCCAAAGCAUCUGCACUAUGAAAUUUUCCAUGAAUGAAUGAACACUCAGAUGUCUUCACUUCCAGCAGAGAGGACACAACUCUCAGGCUGAAUUAGGCUGUUUGGAGAGGUUUACCAAAAGCUCCAUGGGUUACAGACACAAGACUGUUCUCUCACUCUGGUCUGAACUGAGCACUUGGUGGGCAGUAACAUACGAACUCUGACCACAUCACCGGUGUGAAAUUGCUGAUUAACCUUUUGACUCGGACAAUUGGGACUUCUCUCAACACCAACUGGUAAUGCAGAAGACCAUUAGUAGUUAAUAUUGGGACAUCCCAGCUCCAGAUGUCAAAAGUUGUAGAUGUUGGAACUCAAUUUAUCCAGAAGCUGGGGAGGACCUGAACUGGCUCAAGCCGUUCUGAAAGAGAGAAGCAGCACAACCUUCCUCUAACAAAAAUGCAUAGGCGGCAUUAGCCACAGCGGCUGCCAACGCGGCUGAACGUACGCGGACAAGCUGCUCUCCCCGAGCAGGCGGGCUCUGCCGACACCUGUGAAAACCUGUCUGCACCGCAGGUGAGAAAGCAAAUAACACAGGGUGCCGCCGCGGGAGUAACGCCAGCCAGCGGGACUGCCGCAGCCACGUCCGCUGUCCCCCGCCACGGCGGCCCGAGCCCCGGGGCCGGGCCCAUCGGGGCCCAUCGGGGCCCAUCCCGGUCCCGCCAUCACCGGCCCCGCGCGCCGUUCGCCUCAGCGCCCGCCAGGUGGCGCCCUUGCUCGGCGAGUGGCGUGAGGGCGGGCGGGCCCGAGAAACGCAUCGCGCGCACCCCCCUGCCCGCCCUGCAAUUUCGGAAGCAUUAUAACUAAAGUGUUUUCAACUUAUUAUUAUGCAUGAGUAAAAAUUCCAUGAAUGUGUAACAUUUUCGCCUGUAUUUCCCUCUUUUCUAACAUCAUUUAAAUUUCUCAUUAAUAAUUUAGCAACGUUCUGGAUUUUAAUCACUUUUCUCAUCCCCGCGGUCUCUAUCCGAGGCAGCGCUCUCCUCCCUACCUGAAGGUGACAUGGAGGCAGGGCUGGAGCCAGGGGCACCCGCCCCAGCGCCCUGUCCAGCUGCAGGGUGUUUCCUUCAUCACUUGAAAAUCCAAAGGUUGCCAAACCUAAGGCUUGAGUAGGUCACCAUUAGGGAAAAUUAAUUUUUUUGGUUUUUUUUUUAUUUGAGUUUAAUUAUGGUGGUAUUUGUUUGAUAGCUUGUUACUGUAAAUAAAAGAGAUAAAAGGAGCCCUUCACUCGAGCAGAGUUGUGAAAUAUGUACCUAAUUAAAACUAUUGGUGUAAGAGGCUAAUAAAGUACAUGUGCCUACUA